RNAcentral lists this ribosomal RNA (413 nucleotides) under uncultured delta proteobacterium. RNAcentral describes it as "bacterial SSU rRNA". It matches the Rfam family "Bacterial small subunit ribosomal RNA", at positions 134 to 523 of the family's 1533-position model. The record is from RNAcentral. Lineage: Bacteria; Deltaproteobacteria.
GAGCCCGGAAUAACUCCCCGAAAGGGGUGCUAAUGCCGGAUGAGACCACGGGAUCCCCGGAUCCUGAGGGAAAAGGCGGCCUCUGUACACAAGCUGUCACUCCAAGAUGAGCCCGCGGCCCAUCAGCUAGUUGGCGGGGUAAUGGCCCACCAAGGCUACGACGGGUAGCUGGUCUGAGAGGACGAUCAGCCACACUGGAACUGAGACACGGUCCAGACUCCUACGGGAGGCAGCAGUGGGGAAUCUUGCGCAAUGGGCGAAAGCCUGACGCAGCAACGCCGCGUGUGUGAUGAAGGUCUUCGGAUCGUAAAGCACUGUCGGGAGGGACGAAUAAGGCGGCGGCUAACAUCCGCAGCUGAUGACGGUACCUCCAAAGGAAGCACCGGCUAACUCUGUGCCAGCAGCCGCGGUAA